UAAGCGUUUGAGAGAUGGAGUGACACAGUAGGAUAAGCUAACCGUACUGUUGGUUAUGUACGGCUAAGCAUUGAGGCAGUCUAAAUAGGCAAAUCCGUUUAGACAAUGCUAGGAUGUGAUGGGGAAGCCCUUCGGGGCGAAGUAGCUGAUUUCACACUGUCAAGAAAAGCUUCUAUCGAGUUUAAAGGCGCCCGUACCGUAAACCGACACAGGUGGGUGAGGAGAGUAUCCUAAGGCCAGCGAGAGAACUAUUGUUAAGGAACUCGGCAAAAUGACCCCGUAACUUAGGGAGAAGGGGUGCCUGUCUAUGACAGGCCGCAGAGAAUAGGCCCAAGCGACUGUUUACCAAAAACACAGGUUUCUGCUAAGUCGCAAGACGAUGUAUAGGAGCUGACGCCUGCCCGGUGCUGGAAGGUUAAGGGGAUCUGUUAGAGCAAUCGAAGCAGUGAACUUAAGCCCCAGUAAACGGCGGCCGUAACUAUAACGGUCCUAAGGUAGCGAAAUUCCUUGUCGGGUAAGUUCCGACCCGCACGAAAGGCGUAACGAUUUGGGCACUGUCUCAACAACAGACUCGGUGAAAUUGUAAUACCGGUGAAGAUGCCGGUUACCUGCGACAGGACGGAAAGACCCCAUGGAGCUUUACUGUAGCUUGACAUUGAGUCUCGGUGCUACAUGUACAGGAUAGGUGGGAGACUAUGAAGCAUGGACGUCAGUCUGUGUGGAGUCAUCCUUGGGAUACCACCCUUGUAGUACUGGGAUUCUAACCAGAGGCCAUGAAUCUGGUCUUGGGACACUGUCAGGUGGACAGUUUGACUGGGGCGGUCGCCUCCCAAAAAGUAACGGAGGCGCUCAAAGGUUCUCUCAGUACGGUCGGAAAUCGUACGAAGAGUGUAAAGGCAAAAGAGAGCUUGAUUGCAAGACAUACAGGUCGAGCAAGGACGAAAGUCGGACUUAGUGAUCCGGUGGUUCCGCAUGGAAGGGCCAUCGCUCAACGGAUAAAAGCUACCCUGGGGAUAACAGGCUGAUCUCCCCCAAGAGUCCACAUCGACGGGGAGGUUUGGCACCUCGAUGUCGGCUCAUCACAUCCUGGGGCUGUAGUAGGUCCCAAGGGUUGGGCUGUUCGCCCAUUAAAGUGGUACGCGAGCUGGGUUCAGAACGUCGUGAGACAGUUCGGUCCCUAUCCGUCGCAGGCGUAGGAAAUUUGAGAAGACCUGUCCUUAGUACGAGAGGACCGGGAUGGACGUACCUCUGGUGUACCAGUUGUUCUGCCAAGGGCAUGGCUGGGUAGCUAUGUACGGAAUGGAUAAGCGCUGAAAGCAUCUAAGCGCGAAGCCAACUUCAAGAUAAGAUUUCCCACCGUAAGGGUAAGACCCCAGGAAGACUACCUGGUUGAUAGGUCGAAGGUGUAAGUGCAGUAAUGUAUUUAGCUUAUCGAUACUAAUAGGUCGAGGACUUGACC
Molecule: ribosomal RNA, 1459 nt
Filed under: human gut metagenome
Description: bacterial LSU rRNA
Rfam family: Bacterial large subunit ribosomal RNA
Source: RNAcentral